GAUGAACGCUGACAGAAUGCCUAACACAUGCAAGUCAACCUGUGGCGGACGGGUGAGCAACGCGUAAAGAACUUUCCUCACGGAUAGGGACAACAUUUGGAAACGAAUGCUAAUACCUGAUACUGUGAGAGUGCUUUGCGUCACAUUAGCUAGUUGGAGAGGUAACGGUUCAAGUAGGCGAUGAUGGGUAGCCGGCCUGAGAGGGUGAUCGGCCACAAGGGGCCAGGGGCGCGACCCGUACUGAAUCGUGAGGCAGCGGUGGAGACUAUUGGACGCAAGGCCAAUGUCUGAACCAGCAAUUAUGGUUGCACGAUAAGUUUGUCGGAAGGAAGGGGGUUAUGAGUUGAGCAUCGGUACCAACAGAAGAAGCGACGGCUAAAUACGUGCCAGCCGCCGCGGUAAUUC
This 405-nucleotide ribosomal RNA is filed under the name uncultured bacterium. RNAcentral's name for it is "partial 16S ribosomal RNA". It matches the Rfam family "Bacterial small subunit ribosomal RNA", at positions 28 to 526 of the family's 1533-position model. The record is from RNAcentral.